Molecule: non-coding RNA, 693 nt
Organism: Pseudonaja textilis
Lineage: Eukaryota; Metazoa; Chordata; Lepidosauria; Squamata; Elapidae
Source: RefSeq, a predicted model, not a curated record
AGAAUCCAGGGAAAGACUGACAGCAUUACUGAAAGAGGACCCAGGAUCCUAAAAUCUGUCUGACAGCAUUACUUAUGACAACUAUCUCUUUUGUUGGAUGGUCUGUCCCAUAUUAAUGACUCAGGGGGAAGAAAUCUUAUGCAGUUGUCAGAUCUGUUCCUUCCAACCCAUAUUGUCAUCUCUGACGAAUGGAGCUAUUAGGAUUUUUAGCAGAAGAAUUUGUCAGCACCCACUGCUUGUGAGAUUCAUUCAUAGCUGAUUUCAGGGACUGAACUUGGAAAAACAACAUGAGCAUCGUAUGAAUGUUACAGUUUCUUCACAGAAAAGAUGUUUUUAUGGGAACCAAUUAACUGUAGAUUAAUUCCUUUCCUUUUAAAUCGUUUCUUAACUGUUCUAGAAUUCUGUGAUUCAUUGUCUGCUUCCACACAUAGCAACACCAAAAAGACCUCUUUGAAUUGUAAAAUGUAUUAUUAUUUUAUAAGCAGUACCAAAUAGAGUUCACCCUCUAUUUGGUAUGAUUAGAUAAAGCCGGUAGCUUAAACCAUUGAGAAAAAGAGAGAGGGAAGCUUAAAUAAUACCUCUGUGUAAUAAAUAGAUGAGCAGCAGGGCAUGUUUCUGCUACUUUAUACAUUUUAAUGUGUGAGCUUAGCUGUUUGUGAUUCCCAUGCUGCUGAUAAUAAAACAAUUCUGCUG